Molecule: ribosomal RNA, 805 nt
Filed under: uncultured bacterium
Lineage: Bacteria
Description: bacterial SSU rRNA
Rfam family: Bacterial small subunit ribosomal RNA
Source: RNAcentral
GGUGAGUAACAUGUGGGAAUCUGCCUUGUGGUUCAGGACAACAUUGGGAAACCGAUGCUAAUACUGGAUAAGCCCUUACGGGGAAAGUUUUAAUGCCAUAAGAUGAGCCCGCACUUGAUUAGUUAGUUGGUGAGGUAAUGGCUCACCAAGACAAUGAUCAAUAGCUGAUCUGAGAGGAUGAUCAGCCACACUGGGACUGAGACACGGCCCAGACUCCUACGGGAGGCAGCAGUGGGGAAUCUUGCACAAUGGAGGAAACUCUGAUGCAGCGAUGCCGCGUGAGUGAAGAAGGCCUUUGGGUUGUAAAGCUCUUUUGUAGGGGAAGAUAAUGACUGUACCCUAAGAAUAAGGUCCGGCUAACUUCGUGCCAGCAGCCGCGGUAAUACGAAGGGACCUAGCGUAGUUCGGAAUUACUGGGCGUAAAGCGCGCGUAGGCCGUUGAGUUAGUUAAUUGUGAAAUCCCAAAGCUUAACUUUGGAACUGCAAUUAAAACUGCUCGACUAGAGUUUGAUAGAGGAAAGCGGAAUACAUAGUGUAGAGGUGAAAUUCGUAGAUAUUAUGUAGAACACCAGUUGCGAAGGCGGCUUUCUGGAUCAACACUGACGCUGAGGCGCGAAAGUAUGGGUAGCAAAGAGGAUUAGAUACCCUCGUAGUCCAUACCAUAAACGAUGAUUGCUAGAUGUUGGAAAUUUAUUUUCAGUAUCGCAGCUAACGCAUUAAGCAAUCCGCCUGGGGAGUACGACCGCAAGGUUAAAACUCAAAUGAAUUGACGGGGACCCGCACAAGCGGUGGAGCAUGUGGUUUA